UACAGAGGUCUCAAGCGUUGUUCGGAUUCAUUGGGCGUAAAGGGUGCGUAGGCGGCGCGGUAGUCGGGUGGGAAAUCUCGGGGCUUAACUCCGAAACUGCAUUCGAUACUGCCGUGCUUGAGGACUGGAGAGGAGACUGGAAUUUACGGUGUAGCAGUGAAAUGCGUAGAUAUCGUAAGGAAGACCAGUGGCGAAGGCGAGUUCCUGGACAGUUGCUGACACUGAGGCACGAAGGCUAGGGGAGCAAACGGG
RNAcentral lists this ribosomal RNA (252 nucleotides) under uncultured bacterium. RNAcentral describes it as "partial 16S ribosomal RNA". It matches the Rfam family "Bacterial small subunit ribosomal RNA", at positions 524 to 776 of the family's 1533-position model. The record is from RNAcentral.